AUACAGAGGGUGCGAGCGUUAAUCGGAAUUACUGGGCGUAAAGCGCGCGUAGGCGGCUUGGUCAGUCGGAUGUGAAAGCCCCGGGCUCAACCUGGGCAUGGCAUUCGAUACUGCCAGGCUAGAGUAUGGGAGAGGGAAGUGGAAUUUCCGGUGUAGCGGUGAAAUGCGUAGAUAUCGGAAGGAACACCAGUGGCGAAGGCGACUUCCUGGCCCAAUACUGACGCUGAGGUGCGAAAGCGUGGGGAGCGAACAGGAUUAGAAACCCUAGUAGUCC
RNAcentral lists this ribosomal RNA (274 nucleotides) under uncultured bacterium. RNAcentral's name for it is "partial 16S ribosomal RNA". It matches the Rfam family "Bacterial small subunit ribosomal RNA", at positions 523 to 796 of the family's 1533-position model. The record is from RNAcentral.